Molecule: ribosomal RNA, 120 nt
Filed under: Rhizobium favelukesii
Lineage: Bacteria; Pseudomonadati; Pseudomonadota; Alphaproteobacteria; Hyphomicrobiales; Rhizobiaceae
Source: RNAcentral
UGACCUGGUGGUCAUGGCGGGGCGGCUGCACCCGUUCCCAUUCCGAACACGGCCGUGAAACGCCCCAGCGCCUAUGGUACUUCGUCUUAAGACGCGGGAGAGUCGGUCGCUGCCAGGUCU